UAUCAAACUUGAUAUUCAAGUCACAGAC
This 28-nucleotide non-coding RNA is filed under the name Rattus norvegicus (Norway rat). The record is from RNAcentral. Lineage: Eukaryota; Metazoa; Chordata; Mammalia; Rodentia; Muridae.